RNAcentral lists this ribosomal RNA (253 nucleotides) under uncultured bacterium. RNAcentral describes it as "partial 16S ribosomal RNA". It matches the Rfam family "Bacterial small subunit ribosomal RNA", at positions 524 to 776 of the family's 1533-position model. The record is from RNAcentral.
GACGUAGGGGGCCAGCGUUGUUCGGAAUUACUGGGUGUAAAGGGUUCGUAGGCGGUGUGGCAAGUUGGGAGUGAAAUCUCUGGGCUCAACCCAGAGGCUGCUUCCAAAACUGCUGUGCUUGAGUGUGGGAGAGGCGCGUGGAAUUGCAGGUGUAGCGGUGAAAUGCGUAGAUAUCUGCAGGAACACCCGUGGCGAAGGCGGCUGACUGGAUCGCAACUGACACUGAGGAACGAAAGCUAGGGGAGCAAACAGG